AGAAUCAAUGCUGGCGGCGUGCCUCAGACAUGCAAGUCGAACGCGAAAGUUCCCUUCGGGGGAUGAGUAGAGUGGCGCACGGGUGAGUAACACGUAGGUAAUCUACCUUUGGAUGGGGAAUAACAACCGGAAACGGUUGCUAAUACCGCAUAAUGCAGCGGCACCUAAUGGUGACAGUUGUUAAAGCGGGGGAUCGAAAGACCUCGCGUCUGAAGAGGAGCCUGGCGGCGGAUUAGCUAGUUGGUAAGGUAACGGCUUACCAAGGCUACGAUCCAUA
Molecule: ribosomal RNA, 277 nt
Filed under: uncultured soil bacterium
Lineage: Bacteria
Description: partial 16S ribosomal RNA
Rfam family: Bacterial small subunit ribosomal RNA
Source: RNAcentral